RNAcentral lists this ribosomal RNA (253 nucleotides) under uncultured bacterium. RNAcentral's name for it is "partial 16S ribosomal RNA". It matches the Rfam family "Bacterial small subunit ribosomal RNA", at positions 524 to 776 of the family's 1533-position model. The record is from RNAcentral.
UACGUAGGGGGCAAGCGUUGUCCGGAAUCAUUGGGCGUAAAGAGCGCGUAGGCGGCCCUGUAAGUCCGCUGUGAAAGUCAAGGGCUCAACCCUUGAAUGCCGGUGGAUACUGCAGGGCUAGAGUCCGGAAGAGGCGAGUGGAAUUCCUGGUGUAGCGGUGAAAUGCGUAGAGAUCGGCAGGAACACCAGUGGCGAAGGCGGCCACCUAGCCCGCACCUGACGCUGAGGCGCGACAGCGUGGGGAGCGAACUGG